UGUAAGCGUAUACCAAAGUUGUUGCAGUUAAAACGCUCGUAGUCGGAAUUUGGCAGUUCCGGAUGUGUGCACGUCGUGUGCGCACUUCGCGGGGAUUGCUUUUGUGGUCUUGCGUAGGAUGAGGCACUUUUAUUAGUGAACGUCCUCACGCAACCACUUUUUACUGUGAGAAAAUCAGAGUGCUCGAAGCAGGCAUUUGCCGUGAAUGUAUUAGCAUGGAAUAAUAGAAUAGGACUUGGUUCUACUUUGUUGGUUUGUUGGGACUGAGUAAUGAUUAAGAGGGACAGUUGGGGGCAUUUGUAUUUCGGUGCUAGAGGUGAAAUUCUUAGAUUACCGAAAGACAAACUGCUGCGAAAGCGUCUGCCAAGGAUGUUUUCAUUGA
Molecule: ribosomal RNA, 382 nt
Filed under: uncultured eukaryote
Lineage: Eukaryota
Description: partial 18S ribosomal RNA
Rfam family: Eukaryotic small subunit ribosomal RNA
Source: RNAcentral